This 954-nucleotide long non-coding RNA is filed under the name Homo sapiens (human). RNAcentral describes it as "HSALNT0308435". The record is from RNAcentral. Lineage: Eukaryota; Metazoa; Chordata; Mammalia; Primates; Hominidae.
CUCAAGCAUGCUAAAGAUCAAGAACACUGUUCUCAAGUGUUUUACCUGCCCACGCUUUGCACCCAGGGCAUAUUUUGAGUGAAAGAGUCGAGACCUGCAUCUAGAGGCCCCUAAGAAUGGACUAAGGCUGGGCAGUCUUUGCCAUGGACAAAAUGAUCAAAACCAGCUGCUCCGUGGAGUUCUUCAUUGAAAGGAAGAGAGAGGUGGAGUUGGCAGUGAAGCGGGAUCUGCAGACACACUUCAGCAUCAAGCUGACUUAUCACUCCUCUGGAAACGGUUAACAUGCCUGGUCCAGCCACCCGUCAUGUGGAUGUGAUGUGCCUCUCAGCAGUUCUGAAGAUGACAGAAUUCACUUGCAGAUCUAAAAGAGACAAACAGAAGCUGGAAAUUGUACAUAGAGUUGAUAGGAAAACCACCUGAUUACAAAUCACUUAUCGGAAAUGCUAUGUGGAGAAGAAUUAGAAGACAUGGUCACUGAGCAGGAAGAGACAUGACUCUGCCAAGGUAUUAUUGGAAAGGUUGGAGGUGAUCUACUAUAUGGAAGCAUCUCUGAAGUCUAGACAUAAAUCAUCACAGUUCUAGAAAAAGUGGAAGAGAAAACACACCUUUGUAAAAGGACUGGAACAUAGGAAAGUGAUUGAGUUUGAAACACCAACAAAACCAUAUAGGGUGACGGACAGAAACCAGAUUAUAAGGUGUUAAGGAGGGAGGAAGAAAAGACAAAUCAAGAAAACCCCAGGCCCCACCAGCAGAGCAGCAGAGCAGCAGAGUGGCAGAGUGGCAGAGAAGGAGAGAAGCAGCAGCCAGAUGUUGGAGAGAAGCAGCUUGACUUCAGAGGGACAACUUGGUAGCGGGACCUCGGAGAAGAGUUUGGCCAGGGAUGCCCAAACUCCAGGGGAAGACCACCUUCCCACUCCAUCCCCUUUCCAGCUCCCCAUUCCAUUGAGAGCCACU